This is a non-coding RNA of Paramuricea clavata, 450 nucleotides long. The record is from the annotation of a GenBank genome assembly. NCBI's taxonomy places the organism in Eukaryota, Metazoa, Cnidaria, Anthozoa, Malacalcyonacea, Plexauridae.
AUUAAGUUAAUCCUAUUCCAAAUACAUUUUUAAAUUAAACUAUUCAAAUGAUGAAAGUUAUUGUUGUUUUUUAAGCGUUUAUUAGCGAGUGGAAAUUAGCAACAUGGCCGCCAUCUAUUCAAAUGGGAGUAACCGCUGGAAUAUUCUGGGCUUCAAUUUUACUAAAAGAGAUGCUCUAUCUAGUGUAUAUAAGAUAUCUAUGGUUUCUUCGUAUAAACUAUCAAAAUCAAUUCCAAUGAGACCAUUUUUAAUUGAGGUCAAGGAAUUCACGAAUUUGGUUAAAUGUUACGUACGUUGCCUGUUGGUCUACAUUUAAAAGAUGGUAUAUAAUACAAAAUUGUAAAUAGUGCUGGUUAAUAUCUAACACUAUAUUUCCGCUAAUUACGAAGAUAUCAUCAUUUCUGGAAGAUCUUUCACACAGAGCAAACCUGUCUCUUUCACUGUUUCUGC